CAAUUAGAGCAGUUAAACAAGGAUAUAAUACAGCUUCACUAAAUAAGAAGGAACUCACACUUAAAGAUGUGGAAUGUAAAUUCUACAAAAUGAAAACUGCUUAUGAAGAGGUUACAACUGAGUUAGAAGAAUAUAAGGAAGCCUUUGCAGCAGCAUUGAAAGCUAACAGUUCCAUGUCAAAAAAAUUAACUAAAUCGAAUAAGAAAAUAGCAAUGAUCAGUAUCAGCUCUUUAUGGAGAAAGAGCAGGUGAAAUAUUUUCUCAGCACUCUUCCUACAAGGCGAGGUCGAGAGUCACCUUGUGUUGAAAAUCUUACUAGUAUAGGACUCAAGAGAAAAUAUAUUCCCCAAAUGCCCGUAAGAAUUCCUACUUCAAACCUCAGACAUCAAAUAACUGCCAGAACUACUUGACUGAGCUGUUGCUGUAUUGGACACUUGCUCCCAUCUACUUUCUUCUCUAGAAUCCACGGGUAAGCCACAUCUAAUGAAGAGAAUAUUUAACCAUAAAGUCUUAAGGAAAAAUUGUAUGAUGAUUUAAAAGAUUAUAAAAUUUUAUUACUGGGCUAUUUACACAUUUUAAUUGUUUCUCAUAAAAUAUAUAACAUUCCAAUAUUUACUGAAGUAGGAUAUUUUUGUAUCAUAUGUAUGAUUAUAAUUUAUAGGGUAUUUUAAAUGAUGUUUUUUGGCCUCCUUAAGUUUUAAGUGGAUCUUGCAAAUGAAAACCAGUAUUAUUGAGUUUGACAUACUCAAAUUGCCCAAAUGUCAGCUGUUUAAACAACUAAGUCAUCAUUGAUACUUUAGUAAAGGUUAGUAAAGGUCAUCGAAGGCUUAUUUGCAUUUUACAGUUUUUAUUACUUAGGAGAGUUAAGGAGUACCUGCCAGGUUUGUCCGUGCUAAUGUUACAAUUUUCUUUCUGUAGUUCAACUGUAUUUUGUAUGGAGAUACUUUGAGGCUCUGUAAAUAUCUGGUUACUCCUCAGAACCCACUAGAUUUAGCAUUUCAUGGAUGACUUGUGUUUGAACAAUUAUUACUAUGAUGGUUACCAGAUGAUUAUUUUCUUAUUCUCUUCUUUGUUCUACAUGGAGAAAUAAAACCAAUAAAUAAGGGAGAAGGAAAGCUCAUGAUUCUGAUGCUCCAAUUCCCCAAGAUUAGGCCAGUAGUAGACAUUCCAAGCUGACUUUAUGUCUCUUUGAUUUGUCUCCAUUACUCUGUCGGCACUUUUUUACUUUCUGGCAGAAGAUGUUCUAAGCUCAGCUUGUAUUUUCUCUGCUCCAGCUCUGGAAUGAGUAAUUUUUUUUAGAAGCAGAGGUGGAGCCACUGAGGAAGCACAGGUGAGCCCUCCCCAGUGUGUACUCACUGGUCCCCAACAGAAGAACCACUGCCACAUCCACUGAGGUACCAAGAAACUAGCAAAGGGCCUUCUGGCUGUCUGGGGAGAGUCCUCAUGUGGACCCUGGCUGUCUCAGAGGUUCUGGAUUAGUCUUCCUGUAGCCUCUGUGUUGUGUCUUUAGAUCGGGGCUCUGUGGGAAGGGCCCUGAGAGACCCAACAGCACAGCGUGCCUUAUCUGCCAAAUGUCCCUCCCUUCUUCACACUCUGACACUCAGGAAUAGGGUAGAUGGUGUGUCCAGGCAGUGUCAGGCCACCUCACUUUCUCCUUUGAGACGGGCCCAGAGGGCCUUUGGGGUGAGUGUGGAGCUGGGAACCUGGAGCCUGAGACCAACUGUCUCUCCCUGUAUCUUGGAGGAAAGGCCAUGUCCCAAA
Long non-coding RNA from Pan troglodytes (chimpanzee), 1760 nucleotides. RefSeq lists it as uncharacterized. The record is from RefSeq and is a predicted model, not a curated record. Lineage: Eukaryota; Metazoa; Chordata; Mammalia; Primates; Hominidae. The transcript is spliced from 3 exons.